GCCACUGUACUCCAGCCUGGACAAUAGUGCAAGACCCGGUUGUGGGGCGGGGUUAAUAUAUAUAUAUAUAUAUAUACACACACACACACAACAUAGAAUUUACCAUUUUAACCAGUUUUAAGUGUACAGUUCAGUGGCGUUAAGCACGUUCACAGUGUUGUGCAACCAUCACCACCAUCCAUAUCCAGAAUUUUUCAUCUUCUCAAACUAAAACUCCCCACCUAUUAAAUACUAACUCCCCAUUCCUCCCUUACUCACUGGCAACCACCAUUUUACUUUCUGUCUCUAUGAGUUCCGUUAUUCCAGGUACCUCAUACAGUAUUUGUCCUUUUUUUUUUUUUUUUUUGGAGACAGAGUCUUGCUCUAUUGCCCAGGCUGGAGUGCAGUGGCACAAUCUCAGCUCACUGCAACCUUCCCCUCCUAGGUUCAAGCAAUUCUCCUGCCUCAGCCUCCCGAGUAGCUGGGACUACAGGCCCGUGCCACCACGCCCGGCUAAUUUUUUGUAUUUUUAGUAGAAGCGGGUUUUCACCAGGUUAGCCGGGAUGGUCUCGAUCUCCUGACCUCAUGAUCCACUGGCCUCAGCCUCCCAAAGUGCUGGGAUUAUACAGGCAUGAGCCACCACACCCGGCCUUGUCCUUUUUUUUUUUCUUUUUUUUUGAGAGAGGUGCCACUCUGUCGCCCAGGCUGGAGUGCAGUGCCACAAUCAUGGCUCAGUUCAGCCUCAACCUCCUGGACUCGAGCGAUUCUCCCACCUCAGCCUCCUGAGUAGCUGGGGCGACAGGCAUACAUCUGCACGCCCGGGCUAAUUUGUGUGUGUGUGUAUCUUUGGUAGAGGUGGGGUUUCUUUCUUCCUUCUCCUCCUUCUCCUUCCCCUUCUCUUUUUUUUUUUUUUUUUUUUUUGAGACAGAGUCUCACUCUUGUCGCCUAGGCUGGAGUGCCGUGGCAUGAUUUCGGCUCACUGCAACCUCCGCCUUUCAGGUUCAAGCAACUCUGCCUCAGCCUCCUGAGUAGCUGGGAUUACAGGCGUGAGCCACAGCACCUGGCAAAUUUUUAUAUUUUUAGUAGAGACGGGGUAUCGCCAUGUUGGCCAUGCUGGUCUUGAACUCCUGACCUCGGGUGAUCUGCCUGCCUCGGCCUCCCAGAGUGCUGGGUUUACAGGCGUGAGCCACCACGCUCGGCAAGAUGGAGUUUCGCCAUGUUGGCCAGGUUGGACUCGAACUCGAACUCAGUGGUUCCGAACAACUUGGCCUCCCAAAGCGCUGGGAUUACAGGCAUGAACCACCGCACCCCAGCCCAGCAUUUGUCCCUUGGUGGACUGCUUUAUUUCACUUAGCAUAACGUCCUCAAGGUUCAUCUAUGUUGCAGCAGGUGUCAGAAUUCCCUUCCUUUUAAAGGCUGAAUAACAUUGUGGUAUACACCCCAUUUUGUUUAUCCGUUCAUCUGUUGGUGUGUAUUCAGGCUGUUUCUGCCUUCGGGCUGUUGUGAAGAAUGCCGCUAUCAACAUGGGUGUGAGAAUAUCUGUUCAAGUCCCUGGCUAUAUUUAAAUUCUUUUGGAUAUUUAGCCAGAAGUGGAAUUACUGGAUCAUCUGGUAAUUCUAUUUUUGAUUUUUUGAGGAACCACCAAUACUAUUUUUCACAGCAGCCGCAGCAUUUUACACUCCCACCAGCAAUGCACAAGGGUUCCAUGAAAUCACUAAUUUUAUAACAUUUUUCCUGAUUACAUGUUCACUGUAGAACAUUUAGAAAAUGCAAGAAAUAAAAUUUAGAAAAUUAAAAUUCCCCUUAUUCUACAUACCGG
RNAcentral lists this long non-coding RNA (1798 nucleotides) under Homo sapiens (human). RNAcentral describes it as "HSALNT0029077". Lineage: Eukaryota; Metazoa; Chordata; Mammalia; Primates; Hominidae. The record is from RNAcentral.